RNAcentral lists this transfer RNA (72 nucleotides) under Candidatus Aenigmatarchaeota archaeon. Its description in RNAcentral is "tRNA-Thr". It matches the Rfam family "tRNA". From Rfam's summary of the family: Transfer RNA (tRNA) molecules are approximately 80 nucleotides in length. Their secondary structure includes four short double-helical elements and three loops (D, anti-codon, and T loops). Further hydrogen bonds mediate the characteristic L-shaped molecular structure. tRNAs have two regions of fundamental functional importance: the anti-codon, which is responsible for specific mRNA codon recognition, and the 3' end, to which the tRNAs corresponding amino acid is attached (by aminoacyl-tRNA synthetases). tRNAs cope with the degeneracy of the genetic code in two manners: having more than one tRNA (with a specific anti-codon) for a particular amino acid; and 'wobble' base-pairing, i.e. permitting non-standard base-pairing at the 3rd anti-codon position. Lineage: Archaea; Nanobdellati; Candidatus Aenigmatarchaeota. The record is from RNAcentral.
GCCCUGGUAGCUCAAUGGUAGAGCAAUGCUCUCGUAAAGCAUAGGUUGUGGGUUCAAGUCCCAUCCAGGGCU